AGUGAACGCUGGCGGUAGGCCUAACACAUGCAAGUCGAACGGCAGCACAGUAAGAGCUUGCUCUUACGGGUGGCGAGUGGCGGACGGGUGAGGAAUACAUCGGAAUCUACUUUUUCGUGGGGGAUAACGUAGGGAAGCUUACGCUAAUACCGCAUACGACCUACGGGUGAAAGCAGGGGAUCUUCGGACCUUGCGCGAUUGAAUGAGCCGCUGUCGGAUUAGCUAGUUGGCGGGGUAAAGGCCCACCAAGGCGACGAUCCGUAGCUGGUCUGAGAGGAUGAUCAGCCACACUGGAACUGAGACACGGUCCAGACUCCUACGGGAGGCAGCAGUGGGGAAUAUUGGACAAUAGGCGCAAGCCUGAUCCAGCCAUACCGCGUGGGUGAAGAAGGCCUUCGGUUUGUAAAGCCCUUUUGUUGGGAAAGAAAAGCAGCAGGUUAAUACCCCGCUGUUCUGACGGUACCCAAAGAAUAAGCACCGGCUAACUUCGUG
This 492-nucleotide ribosomal RNA is filed under the name uncultured bacterium. Its description in RNAcentral is "partial 16S ribosomal RNA". It matches the Rfam family "Bacterial small subunit ribosomal RNA", at positions 29 to 507 of the family's 1533-position model. The record is from RNAcentral.